This 560-nucleotide ribosomal RNA is filed under the name Rhodotorula taiwanensis. Its description in RNAcentral is "LSU rRNA". It matches the Rfam family "Eukaryotic large subunit ribosomal RNA", at positions 77 to 651 of the family's 3401-position model. The record is from RNAcentral. Lineage: Eukaryota; Fungi; Basidiomycota; Microbotryomycetes; Sporidiobolales; Sporidiobolaceae.
CCCCUAGCCAGCGGCGAGCGAAGCGGGAAGAGCUCAAAUUUAUAAUCUGGCACCUUCGGUGUCCGAGUUGUAAUCUCUAGAAGUGUUUUCCGCGUUGGACCGCACACAAGUCUGUUGGAAUACAGCGGCAUAGUGGUGAGACCCCCGUAUAUGGUGCGGACGCCCAACGCUUUGUGAUACACUUUCGAAGAGUCGAGUUGUUUGGGAAUGCAGCUCAAAUUGGGUGGUAAAUUCCAUCUAAAGCUAAAUAUUGGCGAGAGACCGAUAGCGAACAAGUACCGUGAGGGAAAGAUGAAAAGCACUUUGGAAAGAGAGUUAACAGUACGUGAAAUUGUUGGAAGGGAAACGCUUGAAGUCAGACUUGCUUGCCGAGCAAUCGGUUUGCAGGCCAGCAUCAGUUUUCCGGGGUGGAUAAUGGUAGAGAGAAGGUAGCAGUUUCGGCUGUGUUAUAGCUCUUUGCUGGAUACACCUUGGGGGACUGAGGAACGCAGUGUGCCUUACGGCGGAUUUCUCGAGAUCUUCACACUUAGGAUGCUGGUGGAAUGGCUUUAAACGACCCG